CCUGCAGGAAGGCCAGCAUCUACUUCCAGGAAGAAAACCUGGAGCCCAUGGUGGAGUGAGUGCCUCGGUUUUGGAGAGCUCCAAUGACCAUGAAAUUUUGCUUGUAAAUUCUGAUGCAAAGCAAACCAUUUCUAUCCUUCUCUCACAGUAGAGAUCCUCAUUUCUUUGAUCAAGUGCCUUCUCCAGACUCAUCCCAUUCCAACAAGCCCAUAUGGACUGUUGGCUGUAUAGAUUCUGCUAAGCUAAGCCCCUGGCCAUCUAGAAGCAGGAGAUAACCACAUUAAGCUUCCCAUUAUGUCCCUGAGCCUUUUGUUUUGCAAUUAUAGGAGUGCAGGUUCUGUCUAAUACAGAUGGGCAGAGGGCCAGGAAAAGACUCUGACCCUUCAUUGUUUAUGGGAGAAUCUGAACUCUGCCAGCACUCAAUAAAAGCAAAACAUCUGCAAUGUACCUGCCACUAUCAAUCAACGAAGAGCUAUUUUUCCUUCUAGUGUCUUAACUGAUGGGAUGAUGGUUCACUUCUCUGACUCCAGAGCUGCCCGUGGUCAAAGUUCAGCCCUCAUGUAUUUUGUGCAUUUCUGUGUGGCUGGUGAAAAUCCACAUGUGUAAUUUGCCGACGGUUCCUCAUUUCCCCCAUACUUUCCUCCUCCUGUGAUUGCUUCUCACAGUCCCUGCUUCUGUCUUUUGUGGAAGGAACUUUAUUUGCAUUCUUAGUUGCAGGAGAGAAAAAUGACACCUUUGGGAAUCAGGUCUAUCUUUAAGACUGUUCCAUUCUCAAAAACAGUCUUCUUGCUGCCCUUUCCUGUCUCUGCCUGCAGAGGCACCCUUUUCCUGUCACUUCCUGUGCUCCACUAAUACUACUCAGAGUUGAGUUAAAUUGUUUUCUGUCUGAGGUUCCCCUGGUAAGCAAGUUUAGGUCCCCUUGAUGUGAGUCUCAAAACUGAUCACUUUGUCAUUCCUGCAAAAAGAUUCAGCCUCUGAUAUUUAGCUUUUAUUCAUCUGAAAAACAUGCAUCAAUACUUCCCAAAUGCAUCAAGAAUUGUCUUGAGCUAAAUCCUGAAAGCAGGCUGAGGAGCAUCAGACGUAAUUAGCUCCUUCCUGCCACAUCACCUGGUACAUUUGCCAUCUGUACUAUGAUGAGACUGGGGUUAUCAUAUAAACCGCUCUGGGAGAACUAUGAUCAAUGGUGCCUUGAACUACA
This 1198-nucleotide long non-coding RNA is filed under the name Homo sapiens (human). RNAcentral's name for it is "HSALNT0069129". Lineage: Eukaryota; Metazoa; Chordata; Mammalia; Primates; Hominidae. The record is from RNAcentral.